UACGGGGGGGGUAAGCGUUGUUCGGAAUUACUGGGCGUAAAGGGCUCGUAGGCGGCCAACUAAGUCAGACGUGAAAUCCCUCAGCUUAACUGGGGAACUGCGUCUGAUACUGGAUGGCUUGGAUUCGGGGGAGGAAUGCGGAAUUCCAGGUGUAGCGGUGAAAUGCGUAGAUAUCUGGAGGAACACCGGUGGCGAAGGCGGCAUUCUGGACCGACAUUGACGCUGAGGAGCUAAAGCCAGGGGAGCAAACGGG
This 253-nucleotide ribosomal RNA is filed under the name uncultured bacterium. Its description in RNAcentral is "partial 16S ribosomal RNA". It matches the Rfam family "Bacterial small subunit ribosomal RNA", at positions 524 to 776 of the family's 1533-position model. The record is from RNAcentral.